GGUAACGCGUAAGAACCUGCCCUUGGGAGGGGAACAACAGCUGGAAACGGCUGCUAAUACCCAUAGGCUGAGGAGCAAAAGGAGGAAUCCGCCCAAGGAGGGGCUCGCGUCUGAUUAGUUAGUUGGUGAGGCAAUGGCUUACCAAGGCGACGAUCAGUAGCUGGUCCGAGAGGAUGAUCAGUCACACUGGGACUGAGACACGGCCCAA
This 208-nucleotide ribosomal RNA is filed under the name uncultured bacterium. RNAcentral's name for it is "partial 16S ribosomal RNA". It matches the Rfam family "Bacterial small subunit ribosomal RNA", at positions 109 to 334 of the family's 1533-position model. The record is from RNAcentral.